AUUGAACGCUGGCGGCAGGCCUAACACAUGCAAGUCGAAUGGUAACAGGAAACAGCUUGCUGUUUCGCUGACGAGUGGCGGACGGGUGAGUAAUGUCUGGGAAACUGCCUGAUGGAGGGGGAUAACUACUGGAAACGGUAGCUAAUACCGCAUAACGUCGCAAGACCAAAGAGGGGGACCUUCGGGCCUCUUGCCAUCAGAUGUGCCCAGAUGGGAUUAGCUAGUAGGUGGGGUAACGGCUCACCUAGGCGACGAUCCCUAGCUGGUCUGAGAGGAUGACCAGCCACACUGGAACUGAGACACGGUCCAGACUCCUACGGGAGGCAGCAGUGGGGAAUAUUGCACAAUGGGCGCAAGCCUGAUGCAGCCAUGCCGCGUGUAUGAAGAAGGCCUUCGGGUUGUAAAGUACUUUCAGCGGGGAGGAAGGGAGUAAAGUUAAUACCUUUGCUCAUUGACGCUACCCGCAGAAGAAGCACCGGCUAACUCCGU
Molecule: ribosomal RNA, 489 nt
Filed under: uncultured bacterium
Lineage: Bacteria
Description: partial 16S ribosomal RNA
Rfam family: Bacterial small subunit ribosomal RNA
Source: RNAcentral